RNAcentral lists this long non-coding RNA (543 nucleotides) under Bos taurus (domestic cattle). RNAcentral's name for it is "long non-coding RNA NONBTAT007406". Lineage: Eukaryota; Metazoa; Chordata; Mammalia; Artiodactyla; Bovidae. The record is from RNAcentral.
GGUUAUUAAUCAAAAUUAUUGUAUAAGGUAGUCAAUAGAAUCUAGGUUAAAACAACAGAUGGGGGGUUUGUGGAGUGUUUAAUUGUCAUGGGCAUUUUUAGUAGCAUAGGCCCUUUGCUCUGCAUUUGAAUGUUUCAUAUAUUUUUGUUCCACAAUUAAUCUUCCCUCCCCAGGUUUGUUAUUCAACUCUAAUGCCUGAAUGACAUUUUCUAGUAGUUUGACCUAUUUUUUGAGGAAUAGUUUGUGAUUCCAAUGCAGGUGUCUUCAUUACUGUUACCUCUAUAUUGGGGGAAUAGACGAAUUGCCAUUUGACAACUGUGACCAGGUAGUCUGGACCUUAGAGUCAGAUCAGCCAGUGGCCUAAAGCCAUUUCAAGUACAGAAGCUGUUUGGGGACUACAUUUAUAUAAAUUUGAACAUUAAGUAUAAUUUUUCCUCUUUUUCUUUUUAAUAUUUGUAAACUCAGAGCUAAAAAGUGAUUUUACUUUCUAAAGUUUGAUAUUAAGUUGACUGUGUUCCUUCCCUUACCGCCUCAUUGUUCCCC